GAUUGGUAUCGGGUUAGCUCUUAUAGGGCGGUUAUUGGGCGGCUUAUCGGCCUAACAUACAUGUUUACUAGAAUUUGAUAGAUCUCUUCAGGCAAUGAUAGAUCAAACACCUAUUCCAGUAUACCUUCAUAUGAGCUAGCUUGUUAAUGUCUUUUCAGGGCAUUCAUUUUAUCCGUGAGGUAGUAUAGCUUUGCCCUCCGCACUUUUUUCUUGUCCAUCACCUUCAUCUUCUUUAUGUUGGGUGAGUACCUGCAAAUCAUCUAGAUCCCGAGAUUAAAAAUGCUUAGAAGUAGNNNN
RNAcentral lists this long non-coding RNA (297 nucleotides) under Nicotiana benthamiana. RNAcentral describes it as "long non-coding RNA (NBEN_LNC019826)". The record is from RNAcentral. Lineage: Eukaryota; Viridiplantae; Streptophyta; Magnoliopsida; Solanales; Solanaceae.